GACGAACGCUGGCGGCGCGCUUAACACAUGCAAGUCGAACGGAAAGGCCUGCUUUCCCUUGUGGUUUGCGGGUACUCGAGUGGCGAACGGGUGAGUAACACGUGAGUGAUCUGCCCCCAACUUGGGUAUAAGCCUGGGAAACUGGGUCUAAUUCCCGAUAGGACUGCAGGGUGGUGCCUGUGGUGGAAAACGAUUUUCUAGUGGUUGGGGAUGAGCUCGCGGCCUAUCAGCUUGUUGGUGGGGUAAUGGCCUACCAAGGCGGCGACGGGUAGCCGGCCGGAGAGGGUGGACGGCCACAUUGGGACUGGGAUACGGCCCAGACUCCUACGGGAGGCAGCAGUGGGGAAUAUUGCACAAUGAGCGGAAGCCUGAUGCAGCGACGCCGCGUGGGGGAUGACGGCCUUCGGGUUGUAAACUCCUUUCGACCGAGAGGAAGCCACCUGGUUGGAAGGGUGGUGACGGUAGUGGUAGAAGAAGCACCGGCUAACUACGUG
RNAcentral lists this ribosomal RNA (494 nucleotides) under uncultured bacterium. RNAcentral's name for it is "partial 16S ribosomal RNA". It matches the Rfam family "Bacterial small subunit ribosomal RNA", at positions 28 to 507 of the family's 1533-position model. The record is from RNAcentral.